GUGGGGAAUAUUGCACAAUGGGCGGAAGCCUGAUGCAGCGACGCCGCGUGGGGGAUGACGGCCUUCGGGUUGUAAACUCCUUUCACCAUCGACGAAGGGUUUCUGACGGUAGAUGGAGAAGAAGCACCGGCUAACUACGUGCCAGCAGCCGCGGUAAUACGUAGGGUGCGAGCGUUGUCCGGAAUUACUGGGCGUAAAGAGCUCGUAGGUGGUUUGUCGCGUCGUCUGUGAAAUUCCGGGGCUUAACUCCGGGCGUGCAGGCGAUACGGGCAUAACUUGAGUACUGUAGGGGAGACUGGAAUUCCUGGUGUAGCGGUGAAAUGCGCAGAUAUCAGGAGGAACACCGGUGGCGAAGGCGGGUCUCUGGGCAGUAACUGACGCUGAGGAGCGAAAGCAUGGGGAGCGAACAGGAUUAGAUACCCUGGUAGUCC
Molecule: ribosomal RNA, 431 nt
Filed under: uncultured Corynebacterium sp.
Lineage: Bacteria; Bacillati; Actinomycetota; Actinomycetes; Mycobacteriales; Corynebacteriaceae
Description: bacterial SSU rRNA
Rfam family: Bacterial small subunit ribosomal RNA
Source: RNAcentral